RNAcentral lists this ribosomal RNA (492 nucleotides) under uncultured bacterium. RNAcentral's name for it is "partial 16S ribosomal RNA". It matches the Rfam family "Bacterial small subunit ribosomal RNA", at positions 29 to 507 of the family's 1533-position model. The record is from RNAcentral.
AGUGAACGCUGGCGGUAGGCCUAACACAUGCAAGUCGAACGGCAGCACAGUAAGAGCUUGCUCUUACGGGUGGCGAGUGGCGGACGGGUGAGGAAUACAUCGGAAUCUACUUUUUCGUGGGGGAUAACGUAGGGAAACUUACGCUAAUACCGCAUACGACCUACGGGUGAAAGCAGGGGAUCUUCGGACCUUGCGCGAUUGAAUGAGCCGAUGUCGGAUUAGCUAGUUGGGGGGGUAAAGGCCCACCAAGGCGACGAUCCGUAGCUGGUCUCAGAGGAUGGUCAGCCACACUGGAACUGAGACACGGUCCAGACUCCUACGGGAGGCAGCAGUGGGGAAUAUUGCACAAUGGGCGCAAGCCUGAUCCAGCCAUACCGCGUGGGUGAAGAAGGCCUUCGGGUUGUAAAGCCCUUUUGUUGGGAAAGAAAAGCAGCAGGUUAAUACCCCGCUGUUCUGACGGUACCCAAAGAAUAAGCACCGGCUAACUUCGUG